RNAcentral lists this long non-coding RNA (814 nucleotides) under Chloebia gouldiae (Gouldian finch). Its description in RNAcentral is "Erythrura gouldiae (Gouldian finch) lncRNA (ENSEGOG00005017716.1)". Lineage: Eukaryota; Metazoa; Chordata; Aves; Passeriformes; Passeridae. The record is from RNAcentral.
CAAGGGAGCUGCAGCAGACAACUGUAAUAAUAAUGAAGAUUCAAGUUUCCAACAUCGCUUUUCAGACACAUUUUCUGUUAAAGGAAAGCUUCAGGAUAUCACUAAACCUAUCCCCACAAAUAAGGAAGAGCUCAGCCUAACAGCAUAUAAAGCUGACAGUGGAAAACAUGCAAAGGGAGCUGUGCUGGAAACAGGGAAUAAUGAGGAUUCAAGUCCCCAGUCUUGCUUUUCAGACACACUUUGUGCUAAAGGCAAACUCCAGAAUCCCAGCAAACCUCUCACUAAGAGUAAAGAGGAUUGUGUAGCACCAUCCCCAUUGUCUGUUUCCAGCAGGAGUAGAGUACAGUCUUGGAAUAGAGAAUCUUAUUCCCCCAUGAAUGAGUCAGGACCAGCAUUCCUCAAACGAACUUACCACAGUACCACAGAAGGCAGCUCUGAUGAGGCAGAAACAAGCAAAGAGGAGGCAAAGAAAAGAAGAAGAAUAAAUUUACAGCCCAAAAAAUUAUUUAAAGCAGCUGAUGCUGCUUCUUGCAGAGUGUCUGAAAGUGUCUCCACCCAAUCUGUGAAUGACCCGUCUGGUUUGGAAUUCUGGAAGCCUGGUUGCUCAACCAUCAGCAUUUGUCAGCAGAUCCAGAAAGAAUUUACCAAGAAAAUUGAGGCAAGACCCUUCAUGUGCAACACUUGGGGAGUACCUGAGCACAUGGGGGACAGCUUGAUUUGCACCACACCAUUACAUUUUUUAAAGGGGUUUGUUGUGAUAUUAAGCAGUACUGAACAUAUUAGAGGUUGUUGUUUGGUUUUUUUUUUUUCCUAA